Molecule: RNA transcript, 3111 nt
Organism: Cercocebus atys (sooty mangabey)
Lineage: Eukaryota; Metazoa; Chordata; Mammalia; Primates; Cercopithecidae
Gene name: glycolipid transfer protein pseudogene
Exons: 1
Source: RefSeq, a predicted model, not a curated record
GAUGUAGCUGGAGGCCAUUAUCCUAAUUAACACAGGAACAGAAAACCAAAUAUCAUAUGUUCUCACUUAUAAGCGUGACCUAAAUAAUGGAAUACAUAUGGACAGAAAGAUGAGAACAAUAGACACUUAGAGAUGUCUAAAGAAGGGAGAGGGGAGGGGAGGGAAGGGAAAAUGGGCUGAAGACCUACCUAUCAGGUAUUAUGCUCAGUACCUGUGUGACAGGAUCAUCUAUAUUCCAAACCUCAGCAUCAUGCAAUAUACUCAUGUAACAAAUUUGCUCAGGUACUCCUGAAUCUAAAAUAAGAAAUUAUUUUUAAAAUAUAUACAUAGGCUUAAAACUAAAGAAUAAAUCAUUUUAAAUCAGAGAUAUGCAUGUCUGAGUAUAUAUACAGUUACAUAUUGGAAUACUUUUCUAACGAAAAGAGUAAAAUCUGUUUUUCCAAAAUAUCUUUUUAAAAAGAGGAAUUUACAAGUUUAUAUUUUAAUUAUACUCAAAUUAUAGCCAGAAAAAAAUUUCAGUCAGUGGAUAGUGUUCCAUAACCUAGUGUCUGCAAAGCAACUAUUUUAAUAUUUCUAGUAUUAAAAUUUUAAUAUUCAGUUAGGUUUGUGGAUAUCUAUUCAUACCUGAAUGCAUACACAUACAUAUGCAUACAAAUAUCUGUAUACAUAUUCUAUAUAGUAUAUUUUUCAAUUUUUGUUAAGAGAAUAACUUUGGAAAAUAAUCUUCAAUCAGAGUAGAAUAAAAAAACAAAAGCACUAAAUGGCAUAUACAUUCCUGCUGUAGAUGUUUACAAAUGCAGGUGCCAGUACCAGAGUUCCUACAAACCAAUCAUGAUACUCCACCUAUAUUACUGCCUAUACUUUGUAGCCCUACAAAGGACUCUAUGACACAUGAGGACUCUAUGAGUCAGAAUUCCUCAUAUAUAAAAUAGGAUAAAAUGCUACCUAUAGUUCAUGCAAUGUUAUGAGAAUUAAAUGAGCUAAUCCAAUUAAAGUGCUUACUCUGAUAGGUUAAUAUUAAAAACAAGUGCUCAUUCCCCAAGACCUAAAUUAAGAGACAUAUUUUGUCAUAGUGGACAAUGUACAUAAAGAAGUGCACAUAAAGGACAGUGAAAUAUGUCUCAGAUAAUAUUAACGUUAAUCAUAAGAUGUAUAAUCAAACUGUUAGAUGUGAAGAAAUAUCAGUUUCUAUCUUUAUAAUUUUUAGAUUUGAGGAAAUAUGAUUCCUUCAUUACAACUACAACUGACCUAUAUCAAAAUAGAAUAAAAAUUAAAAAAUUUUGUUUGUUACAAAAAUGACCUAAUUUAUCAAGUAUUUAUUUACCAAGAUAAAUAUUUAAACAUAUCAUUUGAUAAUAUCUAAGACAAAACAGAAAUAUAGUUGCAAGGUACAAUCAAUAUAAGAUUUAAAAUUCCAUUCCCUUCAUCAUACAAAAAUAGGAAUUGUGUAUAAAAAGCUACAUAAAAAUACUUAGCAUAGCACUGUUCAUAAUCGAAAAUUGGAUAUAUCUAUAUAUCUAAUGUCCCACUGCUGAAGAUCACUUAUGAUACAGGCAUUGAGUGGAAAAUUAUAUAACCAUUUUAAAUGACUUUGAACUAAAUUUUUGGUGGCAAAGGAAAAUGUUCAUAAAGUUGAAAAAAGCAAGGAACAAAAGUGUUCCUAUAGUAUGAUUCAAAGUUUAUAAAACAGUAUAAAUGUGUGUGCAUACACACACAAAAUAAAAACCCUGAAAAUGUAUAUAUCAAAAUAUUACUAUUUCUGGAUAGAGGGAUUAGAGGGAUUUUAAAACUUUCUUCUUGUGUGUAUUUCCCAUAUUCUUUUUUGGUAAUCUAAAAGUUAAAAGAUUUCAAAUUCCUGUUUUAGUUUUUACCCAUAUAUAAAUUUUGUAGCAGGAGGAUUUCAUAGACACUAAGACUCCAAAUAUGAUCCCAUGUUUAAGAAUACAAUUUUUUCGACGCUGGCAUCCCCGGAGCCUGCGGCGGGUGGCUGUGACAACCCCAGCGCUGACGGCGGCUGGGGCAUCACCGCGGGCCUCGACCCCGAAAUGGCGCUGCUGGCUGAACACCUGCUGAAGCCGCUGCCCGCGGACAAUCAGAUCGAGACUAGGCACUUCCUCGAGGCAGUGUCCCACCUGCUGCCCUUCUUCGAUUACCUUGGGUCCCCAGUGUUUACUCCCAUCAAGGCAAACAUAAGCGGCAACAUCACGAAAAUCAAAGCCGUGUACGACACCAACCCAGCCAAGUUCUGGACCCUGCAGAACAUCCUGGAGGUGGAGAAAGAAAUGUAUGGAGCAGAGUGGCCCAAAGUAGAGGCCACACUGGCACUGAUGUGGCUGAAAAGAGGCCUCCACUUCAUCCAGGUCUUCCUCCAGAGCACCUGUGACGGGGAGCGGGACGAGAACCACCCCAAUCUCAUCCGCGUCAACGCCACCAAGGCCUACGAGAUGGCCCUCAAGAAGUACCAUGGCUGGAUCAUGCAGAUCUUCCAGGCAGCACUGUACACAGCCCCCUAUAAGUCCGACAUCCUGAAAGCGCUUUCCAAGGGGCAGAAUGUGACAGAGGAGGAGUGCCUGGAGAAGAUCCGCCUCUUCCUAGUCAACUACACGGCCACCGUCGAUGUCAUCUAUGAGAUGUACACCCAGAUGAUGGCCGAGCUUAACUACAAGGUGUAGGCGUUCUCACCGCUGGACACGCCCCCGACUCGUGGCCACACGGAGAAACAGGCAAACCAGAAUCACUGUGAAUCAAGUCUGUGAGCUGCCCCUGGCUUGCGUCCCCGAGUCCUGCCAGAGUCUGCAGGGGACAGCCCUUGUUUUUUAAGUCUUUUUUUUUUUUUUUUUUGGCCUAUUCUAAAGGACCAAUAAAUAAUGAUCUUACUUUCAAAUCUUGGAAUUUCACGACAGCACAGACUGACUUUAUAGCCUCAUUUCAGCGUGGCAAAAAUCGAUUAACACUUCUAAUGAGUCAAGUCCCAGGGAUUUUUGGUUUUGUUUUGUCGCCAAGGAGGAACACAGCUCUGGGGAAAUGGUGUCGUCCACCUCAUUUUAAAAAUAAGCACCUGAUGGCCGGACACUGUGGCUCACGCCUGUAAUCUCAGCACUUUGGUGGAAG